RNAcentral lists this long non-coding RNA (674 nucleotides) under Gallus gallus (chicken). RNAcentral describes it as "long non-coding RNA NONGGAT005411". Lineage: Eukaryota; Metazoa; Chordata; Aves; Galliformes; Phasianidae. The record is from RNAcentral.
CGUGGGUCAAAGCAGAUCUGAACGUACAUGUGGGAAGGGUCCCCGACGUGCUAAUAUGACUUUGGAGUCUGACGUCACAGAGAACAGGGAACGCACUUCAUCGGCUCAGCAGGCAUUGCUGCAGUGCGCAGGUGAGCGGUGGUCCCGCAGCACAGCCCCAGCAGCUGCCCACAUCUACAGCUGGAGGGGAAGGGGUGCAACGACCGAACUAUACAGGAAAGGAAAACCUGCUCAAAGGAAAACCUCAACUACACAUCCGUGCUGUUCCCAGGGAAGGGCCACGGGCAGGGCUCCAAUAGGAACUACGAGAACAUCAAGAUCGGCGCCGAUUACGUCAACGUGGACCCAAAAAAGAAGAAAGCUGAUUUCUGGACCUUCUCCGGCCCCGUGGCAUCCGCGUCCAUCGAAUACACGGAGGUGAAACCGUGACACUCCCUGGGGUCCCACUGCAGCCCUCACUCCGUGCCCAGCAAACAUGUGGGGUGCAGGAGGUGAUCUUCCCCACCCGAGCUGUGCCCACCCCAGGGUGAGUGUGGCUCCCACCUCAGCUGCAGCUCGGUGUGACCAACCAAGGCUCACCUGGGAUGCUGCAGGGACAGCAGGAAGAAACCCCAUUGCCUCCAGGUCCUGUGCCCUGCAGACACUCUGCUCCCCGCUAAAUAAGACAAAAGCAG